Molecule: ribosomal RNA, 500 nt
Filed under: uncultured bacterium
Lineage: Bacteria
Description: partial 16S ribosomal RNA
Rfam family: Bacterial small subunit ribosomal RNA
Source: RNAcentral
GACGAACGCUGGCGGCGUGCUUAACACAUGCAAGUCGAACGGGUCUGCCCUGUUUUUUGCGGGGUGGGUCAGUGGCGAACGGGUGAGUAACACGUGAGUAACCUGCCCCUCACUUCUGGAUAACCGCUUGAAAGGGUGGCUAAUACGGGGUGUUCUGGCUGUGCCGCAUGGUGUGGCUGGGAAAGAUUCACUUUUGUGGUGUUUUGGUGGGGGAUGGGCUCGCGGCCUAUCAGCUUGUUGGUGGGGUGAUGGCCUGCCAAGGCUUUGACGGGUAGCCGGCCUGAGAGGGUGGGCGGUCACACUGGGACUGAGAGACGGCCCAGACUCCUGCGGGAGGCAGCAGUGGGGGGUAUUGCACAAUGGGCGGAAGCCUGAUGCAGCGACGUCGCGUGAGGGAUGGAGGCCUUCGGGUUGUGAACCUCUUUCGCCGGUGAAGAAGGUCCUGCUCUUUGUGGUGGGGUUGACGGUAGCCGGGUUACGAAGCGCCGGCUAACUACGUG